UAAUAUAAUAAUAUGUUAUUGUAAUUAAUUCUCCUACGCGCUCGGCUCGGCGGCGACCGGCAGUCGUCGAGUGCUGAUUAGUGUAACGUGACACCGGUAUUAUCACGGAAUAUAAUAUUGCGCGAUUAUCGUAUAUAGGUAUUAUCCCAAAAUCCGAAUUCUGCGAUCCCGCAAGAAACGGAGAAAGUCGAAGAGAAAAACAAGUGUCGACAACGUAGUCACAACCGAUCACAGACUUGUCGGGCACUCGGGCAACCAACAGUCGGCGGACGCGCGAGUAUGAGACGGGUAGAACAUCUUCAUAACUCUAACCGUACAACACUACCGCACUAGCGCAUAACGCGACCGAAACAUAGAUAAAAGAUUAAACCGUACUGUCGUAGACCGUAGUGUCAAGACUUGUGAGCAGUGAACACUGAGGACAGAGCGUCUCAGCGUAACCUGUCGGACUGCCAAGUGCCAGAGUGGCGGAAUGCUGGAUUCGGAACUCUGAGCGUCGGAUGUCAACCAGCGCGCCACACUGACACAGUGGCACACCGCCCGUCAUCGACCUUAACGAGGCCAAUUAAGCCCCCCUCAAAAUAAAUUAAUAUAUAGAAAAAAACAGUUACACCAUCAUGCCGAGCCACCGCUGCUAACAUAUUCAGAAUUCACGGAUCGUUUUGACUGUCAGUAACCAUAAAACUGGUCUAGUGACGUGUUGAAACAAGUACAACCGUCAUACAUUUUGAGCUUGCGUUUCUGCCUUUCUAGUGUGUUGCCGUGUCGGAACCGCAAAAUUCAAUUGAUGGAACAAAACUUAUAUAUAUUACCUAUAUGAUUUAUGUUAACCUCCACAACAAAAUGUUUUAGUUUUUGAGUUUUUAUGAUAGAUUUUAUAAUUAGGUAUAUUAUUAAAACAAUAUCUGUUUUAAUUAACUUCUUUCCAAUAAUGACUUGUCCUUGAUAUUUUGUGAGUAUAUAAUAAACAUAGUCAGCAGCCAACAAAAUAAGAUGUUUUUAACUUUUAACAUUUAAAUACAGAGUGAUUAUUUUAUCAUCGGACACUCAUUAUUUCAAGAAGUGUAAAUGUUUUUGAAAAUAUUAUUUAGUCACUUGCAAUACACAUAUAUUACACAAAAAAAAUUUUUUUCACACUGAAAAUAAAAAAUUUAAAAUUUGUUUUAAAUUUGUUUGAAUUUAUUCAAAAUAGUCUAUUUGUGAAUCUGGUUAUAAGAACAUUUUUGACAGUAAAAACAUUUAUCUAAGUCAAGUAGUUUAUUUUUUAGAAUUUUUUUAAAUAUUAAUAUUUUUUUGAUUAAAUGAAUUUGGAACGUACCUAUAAUAACUUUUUUCAAAAUUUUUUUUUCGGAAAUUUGCUGACAUGAGUAUAUUUCUUAAAUUAUUGACUAAUUAUAUCAUUUUUGUCAUACCUAUGUUUAAGUAGGUAGCAUAAUUUUUUUUUUCGUCAGGUCUUUCUGUUACACCUUGUAUAUACAAGGUAAUAAUUAACCAAGUAUGCAACUACGCUUUUUCAUCCUUUAAUAAUGUAUUUAUUAAAAUUCUGAUUUUUGGAAUUUUUAAAUAUUUACCUAUAUUGAAACCAAGACUUAGAAAUUAGGCCUAUAAAAAAUUACUAUACCAAUAAUUAGUAUAGAAAUUUAAUAAUUUCUAUACCAUUCAAGCAGAUGGAUUUUAUUAUAAUUGUUGAUGCAUAGGUAUGCUUAAAUGAUAUUAUAUCUAAAUUGAAAUUUAAAUAAAUAAUUUCUACAUUUUUAACUUAUUAUGUAUUUAAUCCUUGGUUAUAGGUACAUGAAAAUUGAAAAUAUAUCAAAUGUAUGUAAUAGGUUAUAGCUAAUAUUUUACAUAAUCUAUAAAUAGUUUGUAUAAUUUUAUGUUUUUAAAUGUGAUGUGAUAAUGUAAUGUAAUAUAAUCAAAUGUAUUGUAAUCAUGUGCACUAUGCAGUUAAUAUACUCUGUUACUAAUAGUUUGUAAUAGACUAUGAACGCAAUUAGGCUGUCUAAAACAGUAUACCGGGAUGCAAAUAUAGGCUAUGACCCUUUUUAGUUAUAACUUAUAAGCCUAUAAUUUUAAAAUAAGUCAGACUUCCACUCCAUUUUCAGCAUGCUUAACUAAAUUGGUACAUUAAAAUUAAAAAAAGGUGGGUAAGAGGAUGUUGCUCUGCUGUACAGUAGGUUACAAGUGGGUCACUAUAAUGGAUGGUGUUAAAUUUGAAUAUAAUAUCAUUGUAUAAGAAAAACGAUUCUGAGCGAAAACGGUCAGUCAGCCUAUGAUAUUACCAAGUAUAUUUGAUGAUAUUAUUGGGAGUAAAGUAAUUUAUACAUAACAUAUUUACGUGGAGCCUUGUUUUAAAUUUUCAAUCCUAUAUAUAACCUUUAUAUAUAACCUAUUUACGUGGAGCCUUGUAUUCAAUUUUCAAUUCUUAGCUAUAAAAGUUGAACAUUUUAUAAAUUUUUUACUACAAAAUAAUCAUUAAAUUUUAAAUUUGAUAAAUUUUGUCAAAAUUUGAACUUUAAAUGCUUAUAAAAAAAAUUUGCCUAAGUAUUUGUAAUAUUUUUCAACUGCUGUUGUAACAAUAUAUCAGGAGCCUUGUAUUAAAUUUUCACGAUUUUUUAACCGACAAAUAAAAUUUUAUUGAUAUUUAUAGAAAAAAAAACUAAAAAAAUUGAAAACUGAUAAUGUUCGUAAACAGCUCAAAAAGUGUCAAAUUAUUUUCAAACUUUCAUCGUGUAUAGAAAAUACUAAUAUAAACAUUCAGUGAAAUUUUCAAGUAUCUAAACUCAUUCGUUUUUUUAAUUACAAUAAAAUUAGAAAAUCGUUAAAUGAGAAAUCGAGUGAAUAUAAAUUUCAAACGCUCAUAGAAAAUGUAGAAAUUUUUAUUUUGACAAAAAUUUUCGGGAUUUUUCUGUAUUUUGUCAAGAUUUGAACUUUAAAUGCUUAUAAAUAAAAACUGUGACUAAGGAUUUUUAAUAUUUUUCAAAUAUCAUUGUAACAAUAUAGUAGGAGCCUUGUAUUAAAUUUUCAAGCUUUUUUACCCAACAAAUAAAGUUUUAAAAUCUAUGGAAAAAAAUACUAAUAAAAUUGGAAACUGAAAAUGUUCCCAACAGUUCAAAACAAAUCAAAAUAUUUUUAUAAUGUUAUCGUGUAUAGAAAUUGCAAAUAUAAACAACCAGUGAAAAUUUCAUGUAUAUAAUAUACGUUCAUUUGUUUUAGAGUUACACCAAAAACCAAAAUCGAUUUUUUCAAAAAACAGAAUUUGCGUAAAAAUUCCCGUUUUCUUUAAUUUGUCUUUUGUUUUUCACUGUGCUUUUGAAAACUACUGGGAAAUUUUUGCUUUUGACCCCCCCCCCCCCAAGUACGAACUAGAUUUACUUUUCUAUCAGAAAAGAUACUGUUGAAGAAAAUCUAAACAUUUUUACUGUCCUAAAAGGUGAUGACAAACGCAAAAAUAAAAAAAAUUAAUAAAAAAAACACACAUCAUUGUAAAAUCAAUACAUUCAUCGCUCCGCUCAGAAUCUAAAAGGUUGUUCAGUAAAACAGAAAAGUUCUUAACGUGCGGUAAAAUAUUGAGUUGUUCGAAUGCGUAAAACACCAAAGAUUGUAAGGCUAUAACUUAAAAACAAAUGAUUGUCGGCAAUUAAAUUUUGCAACAACUUUAUUAUUAACUCGUGGUAAUACAUAGGAUUCUGAACAAAAAAAUUGAAAAAUUAGCGUGGGUGCUAAACUAGAUUUGUUCCCAAUAAAUUAUUAUAAUUAUAUGUAAGUACAUAGGUACAAGGUGAUUCAGUUUGCCUGAAACACUUAUUAUUUCAAAAAGUAUUAAUGUUUUUGAAAAUAUUUUCAAAUUGUUAAAAAAUUAUAUUUUUUUCCUUAUAUUCCUUUAAGUUUUUUACUUUCCUGAAUGACAACAUAGAGUUUUAAUUUCAUAUUCCAAAGCAGAAUAUUUUUCUUAGUAUUUUUAUACAUAAAAAUCGAAUUUAGGACUAGUAGUUUAAAAGUAUUUUAUGUUUAGACAAGCGGAGUAGUGCACAAAUAUUUUGCGGGGUAACCCUGUACCACUCCU
Metopolophium dirhodum (rose-grain aphid) is the source of this 4063-nucleotide long non-coding RNA. RefSeq lists it as uncharacterized. The record is from RefSeq and is a predicted model, not a curated record. Lineage: Eukaryota; Metazoa; Arthropoda; Insecta; Hemiptera; Aphididae. The transcript has 3 exons.